UCUAUAAAGAACAAGUUGCUAUAUCAGGUUGUGAAGAAGAAUGACGAAUAUCUGGAGUUGUUGUUGGUGCCCCGUCCCUUUGUACCAUCUAUCCUGCAGUUGUCGCACUCCCACCUUCUUGCAGCUCACCUAGGUGUGGAAAAGUCCCUAGACAGGUAUAAGGUACACUUUUACUGGCCAUGAGUGAAGAAAGCAGUGGAGGAACACUGCCGCAGUUGCCCGGAGUGACAGCAGGUGGCUCCGAAAACCCAUUUUUGCAGUCCCUUAAUUCCCCUACCCAUUAUUUCAGUUCCUUUCAGCAAGAUUGCAAUGGACCUGGUGGGACAUCUACCCAAGAGUAACAGAGGGCACCAAUACAUUCGGUUGAUUUUGGAUUAUGCCACCAGGUACCCGGAAGCCAUUUCCCUAUGCACCAUGAUGGCCACCAAGGGAAUCGCAUGUGAGUUGGUUAUGCUGUUCUCCCGAAGUAGGCAUUCCCGAUGAGAUAUUGACCGACCAGGGCAUCCCCGUUCAUGUCAAGAAUCAUGAAGGAUCUAUGCAAGCUAAUGAGAAUAACCCAUUUUUAAGUUUUUGCCUAGUGGAACGGAACAUACGAAGUCAUUGAGACGGUGGGUGAAGUUAACUAUAGGGUUAGACAGCCGGGACGUAGGCAUCUGACCCAGAUUUACCAUGUGAACCAGCUAAAGAAUUGGAAUGGACGUGAUAUACUCUACUCUAUUUCGCCGAAGAAGGCUAACAAAGAGACCGAGCCGUUGGCGGUGACAAUUGGGGAGCAGCAGAGCCAAACCCAGAAGCAGGAGUUGAGGGAGUUGGUCAGCCGAAACCAGGAUGUGUUCUUCAGUGAACCAGGACACAACAAUUUGGUACAGCACCGCAUCAUCACCGAACCCAGGAAAAAGGUGAAGUUGAGACCCUACUCAAGGAGAGAGGCUGUCAGGACAGAGGUAAAAACGAUGUUGGAAGCUGAUCUAAUCGAAGAGUCGAAUAGUGAGUGGUACAGCUCCGAUUCUGUAAUGAUUUUAGAUAAGUAAAGGAAAUCUCAAUAAUCGACUCCUACCCCAUGUCCCGUAUUUGAUGAAUUCAUCGAACGGCUAGGGGCCGCCUGAUUUAUCAGCACGCUCGACCUGACAAAGGAUUAUUGGCAGGUGGCCUUAGGUCACGAGGCACGGGAGAAAACUGCUUUCGCCACCCGGGACGGUCUGUUCCAUUACAAGAAGCUUCCCUUUGGUACUGCACGGGACCCCGGCCAGCUUCCAGAGGUUGAUGGACCGGGUUCUCCGACCCCAUCGGAUGUUCGUGGUGGCAGACAUCGACAAAAUAUUGUGAUCCAUGGGUGAGCGCAGUAGUGCAGGCCUUACGGGAUGUGGGGCUAACAGCAAACCCCCCAAAAUGUCGGCUCGCCCUGUGGAGGGCGGAGUACCUAGGGUACAUGAUCAGGAGGGGAUGUGUCAAACCCCAGGUGAAGAAAGUGGAGGUGAUUCGGGACUGUCCCCACCCCCUCACCAAGAAGCAGGUGACGUGGCCCGAGGAGACAUAGGAAGCCUUCCAGGACCUAAAGGGAGCACUGUGUUCUGGACCCAUGCUGGUGACACCGGACUUCUCCAAGCCACUGGUGGUACAGACCGAUGCAUCCGAAACAGGGGUGGGUGCCGUCCUAUCACAGAUACAAGAAGGUGAGGAACACCCAGUCAUGUACAUUAGCCAGAAGCUGUUGCCGUGGAAUCAAAAAUAUUCUACGGUGGAGAAAGAAUGUCUUGUGAUGAAGUGGGCGCUGGAAACGCUGAAGUAAUACUUAUUGUGACGGCACUUCACCCUCGUAACAGACCAUGCACCACUGGUUUGGAUGUCAAGGAAUAAGGACAGUAACGCCCGGGUCACCCGAUGGUUCCUAUCCUUACAGCCCUUUGCUUUCUGUCGUCCACAGAUCAGGUGCAGCCCAUGGAAAUGCUGAUGCCCUCUCCAGGAGGGAUGCUCUCGGGAGAGGUGAGUGGAUUUGUUAUUGAGGGGAGAUAUCCCGCUGGCUCCAUCCCCAAGCCUUAUAUGGUCUUCCUGUCCCAACGAGGCAAGGAUGUUUGUUAAGCCAGGCAAUGCUUGGGGAUAAAGGAGGAAGCAGCCUGCACAAAGGGGCAGAGUAGGAGAGAACCAAGAGCGUUAUGAAGAGUGGGAGAAGCGAGAACAAUAUCGAUGUGAUUACCCGUUGUGAACUGGACUGUUGGACUACUCCCUCUUGUGUACCGGACCGGAUUGGCUCAGGACCCGAGUGUGAGGAUUACCCCCGGAAAACGUAACGGACAACGAGAAUGGCUUGUGGACUUUGAGGCAAUUGGUGAAUUCCCCCUUCUUUCCCCGUGUACCGAUAUCCUUAAUAAACUCCCCCUUUUGCAUUCGA
This is a long non-coding RNA of Oncorhynchus kisutch (coho salmon), 2389 nucleotides long. RefSeq lists it as uncharacterized. The transcript is spliced from 2 exons. Lineage: Eukaryota; Metazoa; Chordata; Actinopteri; Salmoniformes; Salmonidae. The record is from RefSeq and is a predicted model, not a curated record.